AAAGCCGAACCUCCUCCAAGUAAAACUCCCUACUCCUCCAGGUAUCCUCCGGUAUCCCAGUCAGCCUCCAAACACCUCUCGCCCAUGCACAGUGGAAUAGAACAUGAUCCACCGACUCGUCCACCCCACAGUCCGGGCAUAAGGGUGAAAGGCCCAUACCGCGUCUACACAGCUCUGAGCAUGUCGGCAAUCGCGCCCAGGCCACCUUCCAGAGGAAAAGAGCAACCCUCUGGUGUAGCCCAAACCUCCACACCCAACCACAAUCUAGCCCCGACUGUGAA
RNAcentral lists this long non-coding RNA (281 nucleotides) under Phoenix dactylifera (date palm). Its description in RNAcentral is "long non-coding RNA (PDAC_LNC008597)". Lineage: Eukaryota; Viridiplantae; Streptophyta; Magnoliopsida; Arecales; Arecaceae. The record is from RNAcentral.